GCCGAGACGCCAUUUUCGGCGGCGGGAGCAGCGGAGCCGGAGCCGGCGGAGCGCGGGGCGGCGGCUGCGAGGAGGAGCCGCGGGAGACAGCGCGCGCGGGCGGCUGAGCAUGCUGCGGGGCGGCCGCGCCGGCGCUCCUCGCUACUGACCGCGGCGCCGCACCUGAGGCGGCCGAGGCGGCGGCCCCGGCGGUCCUGCUCCGCGCACGCGCCCGCGGCCUCCCGGUGCUGACAGCGCGAGCGCGCGGCCCCGCGGGAGCAGCACGAAUGUACGACAGCAUGUCCACGAUGGUGUGCGUAAAGGAGGACAAGUUGGAGAAACUCACGCAGGAUGAAAUCAUCUCUAAGACGAAGCAAGUAAUUCAGGGGCUCGAAGCUCUGAAGAAUGAGCACAAUUCCAUUUUACAAAGUUUACUGGAAACGCUCAAGUGUUUGAAGAAGGAUGACGAGAGUAACCUGGUGGAGGAGAAGUCGAACAUGAUCCGGAAGUCGCUGGAGAUGCUGGAGCUGGGCCUGAGCGAGGCGCAGGUCAUGAUGGCUCUGUCCAAUCAUCUGAAUGCCGUUGAGUCAGAGAAGCAGAAACUGCGUGCACAGGUUCGUCGUCUGUGCCAGGAAAAUCAGUGGCUGCGAGAUGAAUUGGCCAACACGCAGCAGAAAUUGCAGAAGAGUGAGCAGUCUGUGGCUCAACUGGAGGAAGAAAAGAAGCAUCUGGAAUUCAUGAAUCAGUUAAAAAAAUACGAUGAUGACAUUUCUCCAUCCGAGGACAAAGACACUGACUCCACCAAAGAGCCUCUGGAUGACCUUUUCCCAAAUGACGACGACGACCCUGGCCAAGGAAUCCAGCAGCAGCACAGCAGCGCGGCGGCGGCGGCUCAGCAGGGCGGCUACGAGAUCCCGGCGCGGCUGCGCACGCUCCACAACCUGGUCAUCCAGUACGCCUCCCAGGGGCGCUACGAGGUCGCCGUGCCCCUCUGCAAGCAGGCCCUGGAGGACCUGGAGAAGACCUCUGGCCACGACCACCCGGACGUGGCCACCAUGCUGAAUAUCCUGGCCUUGGUGUACAGAGACCAGAAUAAGUACAAAGAUGCCGCGAACCUGCUGAACGAUGCACUGGCCAUCCGUGAAAAAACGCUGGGCAAAGAUCAUCCUGCGGUGGCAGCAACUCUGAAUAACCUUGCAGUGCUUUACGGCAAGAGAGGAAAGUACAAAGAAGCCGAGCCGCUGUGUAAACGGGCGCUGGAGAUCCGAGAGAAGGUUUUGGGAAAGGAUCACCCUGAUGUGGCCAAGCAGCUGAAUAACCUGGCCCUACUGUGCCAGAACCAGGGCAAGUAUGAAGAAGUGGAGUAUUACUAUCAAAGAGCCCUCGAGAUCUACCAGACCAAGCUGGGGCCUGAUGACCCCAAUGUGGCCAAGACGAAAAACAACCUGGCGUCCUGCUACCUGAAGCAAGGAAAAUUCAAGCAAGCAGAAACACUGUACAAAGAGAUUCUCACUCGGGCACAUGAAAGAGAGUUUGGUUCCGUGGAUGAUGAAAAUAAGCCCAUUUGGAUGCACGCCGAGGAGAGAGAAGAGUGUAAAGGAAAGCAAAAGGAUGGGACGUCUUUCGGAGAGUAUGGCGGCUGGUACAAAGCCUGCAAAGUUGACAGUCCAACUGUUACAACUACGUUAAAAAACCUUGGGGCACUUUACAGACGUCAAGGCAAAUUUGAAGCUGCAGAAACGUUAGAAGAAGCGGCCAUGAGGUCACGUAAACAGGGCCUUGACAACGUGCACAAACAGAGAGUAGCUGAGGUGCUGAACGACCCCGAGAACACGGAGAAGCGGAGAAGCCGCGAGAGCCUCAGCGCGGACGUGGUCAAGUACGAGAGCGGCCCAGACGGAGGGGAGGAAGUGAGUAUGAGCGUAGAGUGGAUCGGGGACGGCACUGGAUCUUUAAAACGCAGUGGUUCCAUUAGCAAACUCCGGGCUUCACUUAGACGCAGCAGUGAGAAGCUGGUUAGGAAGCUGAAGGGAGGAAGUUCUCGAGAGAGUGAGCCGAGGAACGCCGGCAUGACGCGUGCCCGUUCUCUGAAUGUCCUUAAUGUGGCCGGCACGGCAGCCGAAGACCAAUUCCAAGAACGAAAUAAUUGUCUGGCAGACUCGAGGACUCUGAGCGCCAGCCACGCUGACCUGGCCCGCUGAGGGUCGCGGCUCAGCUCGAUUGAGUCCCCGAGGCUGUUGGAGCGCUGGGACCCUCAAAGCUCUGCCAGGCCCCUUCCCCCCUGCCCGGGAGCCCCAACCCCUGGUGAUGUCCCUUCCCAGAUAGUGACCUUCACCACCCACUGGGAGGUCUGCUCGGAAUUCUGUGAAGUGGCCUGUAGUGCCCGAGAGGCACUGACGCCCGGUGGUGAGACCCGGCCGGGCGUGGUGGCCGGGGAAGCAGACGUGGCCCCGAGCUGGCUUCAGCGCUGGGAACUGGCUGCGGCUCGGGACACCUGCCACCGCCCCCCAAUCGACUGUAAUCCUGUGUUAGGGCUGUUGGUCGGGACUGGAGCCUUGCAGUGCAUCCUUUGAGGAUGGGAGUCUGACCACCUGUGGCAGUGGUGCCCGGGCUCAGGGCCGGGGGAGGCCUCGCCCUUCCUGGGUCUGCCGCUCGGCCCGCCUGUGCCCCCGGGCUCCCGCUGCUGCGCUGCUGGCCGCGCCUGGGCAGGCCCCACCCCUCAGAACCCGUUUCCCCUCUCCAGGCCCCUGUUUGCUUGCCGGGGGAGCUGCGUGUGUUCCUAUUAAGAAGCUUUUGUUUGUAGGAAUAAGUAACGGGGCCGAGUUCUGACAUGGUCAUUUUCAAAUCACCCCUGGAGUGUUUCCUGAAGGGUCUUUGAGCCCGGCCGGGAGGCUGAGAAAACCCUGGACCAGUGACGAGGGGUAGCUCUGGGUGACGAGAGCCGUGCAGAGGGUCCCUCUGUGCUGGGAGCUAGAACCGGAGGACUCGUGCUCUCUUUGGGUUCGAGAGAGGAUCUGGGAAGCUGUGAGCAUCUUUGUGAAAGGCAGUCGGGUUUCGACUUUAUGUGGUGGUGGUGUCACGGCAGAGGCACUCCCAGCACCCUUUUCCUCAGGAAUCGUGCUGGGCUGGGUGCCUGCUCCCUCCGGGCGCCCUCGGGCUGCAUGUGUCCUUCAGGCUGAGUGUGGGCUUGGGGCAUCCUAGGGUUGGUUACAGCAGGGAGGUCCCGUUGUGGUUCAGCAGGUUAAGGAUCCAGUGUUGCUAUGGCUGUGGCGUAGCUCUCAGCUGCAGCUCCUUCUUGACCCCUAGCUUAGGAACUUCCACGUGCAGUGGGUGCAGCCAUAAAAAGAAAAAAAACCCCCAAAACCAAAAAAACUUUGUUUGAAAGUUUCCUGUAAUUGAGGUGUGACCGCAUGGCGCAGGUGCUUCUGCUUGUGCAGUGGCUGCAUCCAUGCAGGCAGGCUCCAGAGCGCAUGCAGCUGCCCUGGUGAGGGGCCUGCACAGCUGGUGGCUUUCCUGCAGCUUGUCUGCUCUGGCCACGCACUUUUCUUCAGCCCCCAGCUCCAUGAAGGUUUUGCAGCUUCUAGUGGAUCAGGAACUUACUUUUUUUUCUUUUUUUUUGGUCUUUUUAGGGCUGUGCCCAUGGCACAUGGAGGUUCCCAGGCUAGGAACCUCUAGGAAUCAGAGCCGUAGCCGCUGGCCUACACCAGAGCCACAGCAACGCGGGAUCCGAGCCGCGUCUGCGACCUACACCACAGCUCACGGCAACGCCAGAUCGUUAACCCACUGAGCAAGGGCAGGGACCGAACCCGCAACCUCAUGGUUCCUAGUCGGAUUCGUUAACCACUGCGCCACGACGGGAACUCCCAGGAACUUAUUUUUUAAAUGCUCUCUAGAGGGGUUUGAAAAACUUCCAUAGGUUUUGAGAAACCACUGAAAACAGAAGAGCAGAAUGGUAUCCCUGCACGGACACUGCACUGCUUCCCAGUCCGAGUUUAGGUACAGUAGGGGCCACGUGGCUCCGCCCAGGUGCAGGUGCAGUGUCUGUGUCACAUCGCAGCCCAGAGGGGGCACCAAGAAGCUCUUCUAGCUCCUCCUCCCACGACAUUUGAAGUUUUGUUCCAGCCACAGAGCUAACAGUGCAUCUGAAACAUCCUUAGCUUCCCUUAGUGACACUUGUUUCUGGAAAAAGAGGGCAUGUAAAAAGAAGAAACAGGGCUGGGAAUUUAAUGUGAAGCUCCCAGUAGGUGGAAGCAGGCCUUCUUUGCAGGAGUCUUGGUUGAACCUGGCCUGGCCUCAGCUCCCUGAGCGUUGUGGUGGCCUUUGCAAGGCCACGUCGGAAGCCUUUGGCAUAGAAGCUGGCAGGGCUUCCCGAAGCCGGGCUGUAAAAGCCUUCGUGUUUCAGAGGCGGUUCUACCUGGGAAUCUUCGCAUUCGCCCUGCUUUUGGGCUUGAUGGGAUCUCAGUCCCCAGGUCAGGCUGUACCAAGUUUUAACCAUUAGACCACCAGGGAACUCCUUGCAAUUUCUCAUUUUUCAAACUUAGCAAAAUAGAGCUAAGUCAGGGAGUUCCCGUCAUGGUUCAGGAAUGAACCCAGCUCGUAUCUGUGAGGACGUGGGUUUGAUCCCUGGCUGCGCUCAGUGGGUUAGGGAUCCAGGGUUGGGGUGAGCCGCGGUGCAGGUUGCAGACGUGCUUCAGAAGCAGCGUCGCUGUGGCUGUGGUGUAGGCCGGCAGCUGCGGCUCUAAAUGAGACCCCUCGCCUGGGAACUGCCACGUGACGCGGGUGUGCACCUAAAAAGACAAAUAAAAAGCCAGGGCUACAUGAGGUUGUAACUGCUUCAGGUCUGGUGGGAGGUUGACGCUUGGAGGGGCUGCUAGACGCUCGCCUUCCUGGUCGGGGCACCCGAGGGCUGGACACACUUCCACACUGUCCAUCAGGCUGGCCUCCCCUGGCGGGGGACGUGGACAGGAGCCGAGUGUCUGCAGGCUGCACCUCCAGCGUCAGCAGGUGGCUGAGGGAGAGCCGGCCCUUGCGGCGCCUCCCCGGGCCUUUUCCCCUCGGCAGAGGGCUUCACUCGGUUACCUUCGGCAACUGAAAGCUGCUGGGAACGCCCCUGCGGGGAACCGUCUUUGGUAGAGUCUAAGGGCGGUGAAGGGUACCGAGUUUACGGCGCGUCGUGCUCGUCGUCCUCGUAGGAGGUUUGGAUGUAGGAAGCCAACUCCUGGUGUGUUUACAUUUGCACUUGUUUUUGGGGUUUUGGGAAGCAGAAGUGAGCGGGUCAGCUGAGUGAGCGCCGUCUGAUGGUGGGAGCUAACCCCGGGGUUCCCGGGUCUGCAAGGACUGUCCGCUUGUCCCCGAGGAGCGGCUGGGAGGCCCGGCACAGGCAGGGCGGACACUCCUUUGGGACCUGUUGGCGUUCCUGGGACACAGAAAACCCCACUGCAAGGGCCCCGAGGCCCGUGGUGGGUGGCACCCAGGACGGCCCCUGGCCGCCAGGGGCUGCGUGCUGGCCUGAGCCUCCGCGGUGUGGGUCAGCCGCUAGACGUGCCUGCUCUUUGGAGCGACGGUUUUCUCAUUGUUGGUGUGACGUGCAUAGGAAAGCACUUAGAAUUCUCUACGUCCAGUUGCAAGAAUAAAGUUUUAUUUCCCGUUGUGACGUCCCUGUGCUUUGGUGGGAAGGCCCUUCUGUACAACGCCACUCCCACAGAGGAGCCUUUUCCUGCUCAACACACGCCACGCCACCUCUUUGGGGUCACAGACGGCUCUGAAAACAUGAUGGAAGUUGUGCACGGUGAUCCUGCCCUGAGAAAUGUACAAACCAGCGGGUGACAGGGACCUUCGGCCCCACCCCGGGCUGUUCUGGGGCCCGUUCUGCCUGAGUGGAUGGUCCCGUACAUGUCCAAGGGCCAUGAGGAGGCCUGACAGCGCGCAGCCCACGUGCCAAGGCCCGUGCCUGGCAGAGAGCAAACUGGCGAGGGGCCGGGGGCCGUCACCUCGCACGUGCCCUUGUCCAAGGCCUGCGUGCCAGGUGGUGAGGUGGUGGCACAGACACAGCGACAAUGGGUGAAGGCAAGACAGGCCGGCAGGGUUGAGCAGUCACACACGCUGACACCACGCCUUGUGGCCACGACUGGACAUUGGGGUUCUGGCAUUUGUCGCAGGCGCCGCAGGCCCCUGGGGUGGGGUUGGGGGCCUCCUGCCUGGGCGUUGGCCAGGGAGGCCAGGCUGUAGGAGGCACUCGGGACACACCAGGACGUGCUCUUGUGUGCCCAGAACUGGCUUCCCAGCAGAUGGGCCAGACCGGGGCCGCACUGGCUGCUCCUUCCUCCAGCCAAGGCUGGCGGCUGAGGCCACGCAGACGUCACUUCUGCCUGGUCCCUCCCCUCCUGGGCCCUGCAGCCUGCAGGGGAGUUCUCACCACCCUGUGCCAGAUGGAAGCCCUGGAAGCUCUGGCCAUGCAGUGUGCAUGGGGGGCCAGGAGCCGACACCCCCUCAAGGGGGUGAGCGGGCCCGCUGUGGCCUGAGGCAUGGGCCUGGGGGCUUUGGGAGGAGGAUGGGAGCCAAGUGGGCACAGGACAGAGAAGGCUGCUCCUUGAGAGGCUGGGCGUUCAGGGGACCUCUGUAGGUAGGGACCCUGGCGCAGCCACGGGGGGCAGUGCCCAUGGCCUGGAAACAACAGUGCACAUCCAGAGCCAGAGGGCGGAGCAGACCCUGGUCCUCAGGUGGGGAGGCCCGUGCGCCCCGAGACCCUAACCUGGCGAGUCAUCCAGCAGGACUCGCUCCCAGGCGUGCCUCGCACGCCCUCGGUGGUGACUGUGUAGCAGCAGGACCAGGGCGGCAGGUGGGGGGCGAAGACCAGCCUCAGGGUGCGGCUGGGUGGGGCGGGGGCGGCCUCCUCCGGGCGGCGCCGGUCCAUCAGCAGCCUCAUCAGGAGCUGGCUGGACCAGGUUAUUCCGAGGGCUGGCGACGUCCGCUCUCCCCCGGCCCUGCGGGAGGACACAGGCCGAGCCCCCUGGUCAGGAGGGACCAGGGCGCACCGCCACCGCCCUGCCCGCUGGGACGGCCCCGCUCACCCUGCUGCCUCAUGCGCAUCCACGGCCUCCGUCACCUGCCAGAUGAGGGUCAGCGGCGGUGAGGCCCCCCUCUGGUGGCCCAGCCGCACAGGACUCCCCCCACCACUCCCGCGCGGGGCGCAGGCCCACCUGGUUGAUGCAGAGCACGGGGCUCCGGAAGGCGCAGCUCAGCCGCCGCAGCUCGGCCCCCAGCGCCUGCAGACGCCUGGCCCUGCGGGCCGAGUCUGCGCCGGCAAACUCGCAGCGGAACGGGGCUGCCACCGAGUCGAUGACCAGCAGGCGGGCCACACCCCGCGACAGCAGCACAGGCACUUUCCGACUCACGCAGUCCAGCAGGGUGUCCUGGAAGCCGAGGGGUGGCCGUCACCGCCUGCACCAGGGGACCCGCUCCUGUCCCUUAUUGCUUCCCGGCCCCGUCGUGGCAGCCAGGCCCUCUCCUUCAGCGGCCCUCGCCAGGGCCGACCUGUCCUCACCAGAGCCGCUGGUACUGCCCAGCCCCACCUGUGAAGGGAGGAGGGAGGCACCAGGCGGGGAUCUGGGUCUGUCCUGCGCACAGGGUCAUCUCUAUGGGCUGUGACCUGUGGGCCAGCCCCACGCCUCCCCAAGGCCCCUGUGCUCUGAGCAGCUCUGGCCUGGCUGGGGCGCCCUCAGGCCUGUCCCUUGGGGCCACUUCGCCCUGCCCGCCUGGGCUCUCUGCCUCAGUGCCAAUGGGCCCUGCCCAGUGCUUCCUCGCCCUGGGGUGAAACGCAGCUCUGUGCUUAAACCUCCAGGCUGUCUCCAGCAGAGGCCCUUUUUGUGGAGAAUGGCAGCAGCAGCAGUGGCCUGGAGGACACGAACCUUAACUGAGGCUGCACCUGGGCCUGGGAGAGCCGGCACAGCGCUGCUUGUGUGUGUCCAGAGCAGGCCCUGUGACAGCCAGGGGACGGUCGCGGAGGCUGGAGGGCCUGGAGCACCACAUCUUCUGUGUCCCCGCGCCCUGGGCCCCGUCAGACUAACAGCCACACCACUGCUGGGACACGCUCGCUUGCGAAGCCCCGGUCACGCUUGGCCCCUGGAGGACGUUCUGCCCCUGACGAGCUGUGUCCUGAACCGCCUGGAAAAGGCCACUGGCUGUCCGGGCUCUUGUGCCAUUUCCCAUCCUGUUAUCUGCCCCCACGCUCCAUGUGAUAAUGUAUUUUACUGUAAAUUUUUUUAAAAUUAAAAGUUUAUACAUCUUA
Non-coding RNA from Sus scrofa (pig), 8266 nucleotides. The record is from RefSeq and is a predicted model, not a curated record. Lineage: Eukaryota; Metazoa; Chordata; Mammalia; Artiodactyla; Suidae.